CAGCAGCCGCGGGAAUACGGAGGGCGCGAGCGUUACCCGGAUUUACUGGGCGUAAAGGGCGUGUAGGCGGCCUGGGGCGUCCCAUGUGAAAGGCCACGGCUCAACCGUGGAGGAGCGUGGGAUACGCUCAGGCUAGAGGGUGGGAGAGGGUGGUGGAAUUCCCGGAGUAGCGGUGAAAUGCGCAGAUACCGGGAGGAACGCCAAUGGCGAAGGCAGCCACCUGGUCCACUUCUGACGCUGAGGCGCGAAAGCGUGGGGAGCAAACCGGAUUAGAUACCCCUGUAGUCCCUGUCUCUUAUAC
Molecule: ribosomal RNA, 301 nt
Filed under: uncultured bacterium
Lineage: Bacteria
Description: partial 16S ribosomal RNA
Rfam family: Bacterial small subunit ribosomal RNA
Source: RNAcentral